UCGGAGUGGUUCCUGUGCAGCCUUACUGCUAAAGCGUGGAAAGCCGUUCCGGGUUGAUCUUCACCGAUUGCAGCACGCAACCUGCUCGAAAUUUCUGCUCUUCUCGGAAGCGACUGAAGAGAUGGUGUUGAAAACAAACACUCAAACCGCUUGGAUAAGUGAAGAAAAACAAGUUAGAAAAUCAAGGCAUGGGUGGACUACUGUUAUCACCUGAGAACAUGAUGGAAAUCCUGUACUUAAUUGCCUUCAAGCCCUAUGUAGUAAACAUGGUUGUUAAUUUUUAUUAUUAAUAGCACACUUUACAAAAAUAAAAAAAAGUCACAAGAUACUUGUAAUACUUUU
This 342-nucleotide long non-coding RNA is filed under the name Manacus vitellinus (golden-collared manakin). RNAcentral's name for it is "lncRNA (ENSMVIG00005018668.1)". Lineage: Eukaryota; Metazoa; Chordata; Aves; Passeriformes; Pipridae. The record is from RNAcentral.